CCUACGGGAGGCAGCAGUGGGGAAUUUUGGACAAUGGACGCAAGUCUGAUCCAGCCAUUCCGCGUGCAGGAUGAAGGCCCUCGGGUUGUAAACUGCUUUUGUACGGAACGAAAAGGUUUGUCUUAAUACGAUGAGCUCAUGACGGUACCGUAAGAAUAAGCACCGGCUAACUACGUGCCAGCAGCCGCGGUAAU
This 194-nucleotide ribosomal RNA is filed under the name uncultured bacterium. Its description in RNAcentral is "partial 16S ribosomal RNA". It matches the Rfam family "Bacterial small subunit ribosomal RNA", at positions 338 to 524 of the family's 1533-position model. The record is from RNAcentral.